GUCCACGCUGUAAACGAUGUCAACUAGCUGUUGGUUAUAUGAAAUAAUUAGUGGCGCAGCAAACGCAAUAAGUUGACCGCCUGGGGAGUACGGUCGCAAGAUUAAAACUCAAAGGAAUUGACGGGGGCCCCGCACAAGCGGUGGAGCAUGUGGUUUAAUUCGAUGCAACGCGAAGAACCUUACCUACCCUUGACAUACAGUGAAUUUAGCAGAGAUGCUGAAGUGCCUUCGGGAACACUGAUACAGGUGCUGCAUGGCUGUCGU
Molecule: ribosomal RNA, 264 nt
Filed under: uncultured bacterium
Lineage: Bacteria
Description: partial 16S ribosomal RNA
Rfam family: Bacterial small subunit ribosomal RNA
Source: RNAcentral